GACGAACGCUGGCGGCGUGCUUAACACAUGCAAGUCGAACGGAAAGGCCCUGCUUUUGUGGGGUGCUCGAGUGGCGAACGGGUGAGUAACACGUGAGUAACCUGCCCUUGACUUUGGGAUAACUUCAGGAAACUGGGGCUAAUACCGGAUAGGAGCUCCUGCUGCAUGGUGGGGGUUGGAAAGUUUCGGCGGUUGGGGAUGGACUCGCGGCUUAUCAGCUUGUUGGUGGGGUAGUGGCUUACCAAGGCUUUGACGGGUAGCCGGCCUGAGAGGGUGACCGGCCACAUUGGGACUGAGAUACGGCCCAGACUCCUACGGGAGGCAGCAGUGGGGAAUAUUGCACAAGGGGCGGAAGCCUGAUGCAGCAACGCCGCGGGCGGGAUGACGGCCUUCGGGUUGUAAACCGCUUUCGCCGGUGACGAAGCGUGAGUGACGGUAAUGGGUAAGAAGCACCGGCUAACUACGUG
This 467-nucleotide ribosomal RNA is filed under the name uncultured bacterium. RNAcentral describes it as "partial 16S ribosomal RNA". It matches the Rfam family "Bacterial small subunit ribosomal RNA", at positions 28 to 507 of the family's 1533-position model. The record is from RNAcentral.